This 253-nucleotide ribosomal RNA is filed under the name uncultured bacterium. RNAcentral describes it as "partial 16S ribosomal RNA". It matches the Rfam family "Bacterial small subunit ribosomal RNA", at positions 524 to 776 of the family's 1533-position model. The record is from RNAcentral.
UACGGGGGGGGCAAGCGUUGUUCGGAAUUACUGGGCGUAAAGGGCUCGUAGGUGGCCAACUAAGACAGACGUGAAAUCCCCAGGCUCAACUUGGGAACUGCGUCUGAUACUGGAUGGCUUGAAUCCGGGAGAGGGAUGCGGAAUUCCAGGUGUAGCGGUGAAAUGCGUAGAUAUCUGGAGGAACACCGGUGGCGAAGGCGGCAUCCUGGACCGGCAUUGACGCUGAUGAGCGAAAGCCAGGGGAGCAAACGGG